ACAGAUAUAGCUCAGUGGUAGAGCGCAUGCUUAGUGUGCAUGAGGUCCUGGGCUCAAUCCCUAGUACCUCGG
This 72-nucleotide transfer RNA is filed under the name Camelus ferus (Wild Bactrian camel). It matches the Rfam family "tRNA". From Rfam's summary of the family: Transfer RNA (tRNA) molecules are approximately 80 nucleotides in length. Their secondary structure includes four short double-helical elements and three loops (D, anti-codon, and T loops). Further hydrogen bonds mediate the characteristic L-shaped molecular structure. tRNAs have two regions of fundamental functional importance: the anti-codon, which is responsible for specific mRNA codon recognition, and the 3' end, to which the tRNAs corresponding amino acid is attached (by aminoacyl-tRNA synthetases). tRNAs cope with the degeneracy of the genetic code in two manners: having more than one tRNA (with a specific anti-codon) for a particular amino acid; and 'wobble' base-pairing, i.e. permitting non-standard base-pairing at the 3rd anti-codon position. The record is from Rfam by way of RNAcentral. Lineage: Eukaryota; Metazoa; Chordata; Mammalia; Artiodactyla; Camelidae.